Molecule: long non-coding RNA, 456 nt
Organism: Felis catus (domestic cat)
Lineage: Eukaryota; Metazoa; Chordata; Mammalia; Carnivora; Felidae
Exons: 2
Source: RefSeq, a predicted model, not a curated record
GGGACAAGCUCCACCCCCUCCCUCGUGGGUCUCGUGGGUCUCGUGGACUGGCCGUUGGAUGGAGCGUCGUCUACACAGCCCUUCCGCCUCGAAACCUCUGCAGGAUCCCCGCACGGACGGCACGGUUUUCCUUCGCUCUAGGGGUAAUAACCUCUUCCAAGAACUUUUUUAUUCAAGCCAAAACGCAGCAAAUCGGAGGUCACCGAUUUUUCUCCGAGGAAAACGAUGCUUCUCUCCUCCUUGGAGUCGGUUCUGUGAAACACAAGUGCUCCAAGGCGUCCCAAUCUGCGGCGUCCUUUGAAAUUGUAUCCCGUGUGUGUUGGAGCUGAGCCAAUUAACAGGAAGAGAAUUGGGUGGAUUGCAGAGAAGCUGGCAAGACUGUGUUUACCAAUUAGUUUUUUUUAUGAUGCAAAUGUCGCGCCGCAUGCGGCAGGAAUAAAAGCUAGCUAUGCUGAA